GAUGAAGAACGCAGCGAAAUGCGAUAAGUAAUGUGAAUUGCAGAAUUCAGUGAAUCAUCAAAUCUUUGAACGCACAUUGCGCCCAUUAGUAUUCUAGUGGGCAUGCCUGUUCGAGCGUCAUUAAUUCCACUUAAGCCCUGCUUAGUGUUGGGAAUCUACUCUAGUGGUGCUACCCUGGAGCUACCCCUGAAAGGGGGCUGGCCCGGUAGCUACCCUGUAGUUCCUCAAAGAUAGUGCGCGGAGUUGCGUGGUCCUCUGAGCUUAGUAACUAUACACCUAGCUUUUGAGUGUCCCGCGGCGCCUGCCGUUUAAACCCCAUCUUUUAAUGGUUGACCUCGGAUCAGGUAGGAAUACCCGCUGAACUUAAGCAUAUCAAUAAGCGGAGGA
Molecule: unclassified non-coding RNA, 387 nt
Filed under: soil metagenome
Description: partial contains 5.8S ribosomal RNA, internal transcribed spacer 2, and large subunit ribosomal RNA
Rfam family: 5.8S ribosomal RNA (bases 1-120)
Source: RNAcentral